This 225-nucleotide ribosomal RNA is filed under the name Clostridium botulinum. RNAcentral's name for it is "partial 16S ribosomal RNA". It matches the Rfam family "Bacterial small subunit ribosomal RNA", at positions 55 to 279 of the family's 1533-position model. The record is from RNAcentral. Lineage: Bacteria; Bacillati; Bacillota; Clostridia; Eubacteriales; Clostridiaceae.
AUGCAAGUCGAGCGAUGAAGCUUCCUUCGGGAAGUGGAUUAGCGGCGGACGGGUGAGUAACACGUGGGUAACCUGCCUCAAAGUGGGGGAUAGCCUUCCGAAAGGAAGAUUAAUACCGCAUAAUAUAGGAGAAUCGCAUGAUUUUCUUAUCAAAGAUUUAUUGCUUUGAGAUGGACCCGCGGCGCAUUAGCUAGUUGGUAAGGUAACGGCUUACCAAGGCAACGA